CACGUUCUCUUCUGUCCAUAGCUGAUUGCAGGUCAGCUCACCCCUGACUGUUUUCCGAAGCACUGAUUGCCCAAGGUUACCCUCUCCUGAAGUCUGUUGGCAGCGCUCCUCCUGUGAGCACUGAGUUACGCAACAGGGAGAACACUUUUGCCUGAAGGCAGGUACCUUGGCAUCACAUAGCAGUGCAGAAUAUGAGUGGGAAGAAUUGCAGCUAUCGACCUUGACAGGAAGCUGUGCACUCCCAGCAGUGGACAGCAAAUGUUGGACGCUGCAAGCGGGAGGAAGAGAAGGCCUCAGGGGUCCAGCACUGGGUCAAGAAGUUCUCAGCAUCGCAGCUAUCACAGGAGAGGAGAGGCUGCU
This is a long non-coding RNA of Calidris pugnax (ruff), 360 nucleotides long. RefSeq lists it as uncharacterized. The transcript is spliced from 3 exons. Lineage: Eukaryota; Metazoa; Chordata; Aves; Charadriiformes; Scolopacidae. The record is from RefSeq and is a predicted model, not a curated record.